AAGUCGUAACAAGGUUUCCGUAGGUGAACCUGCGGACGUAUCCAACGUUAAAACCCCCGUGAACCUUCAUUAUGCUGGUUGUGCGCCAUCGUAGCAAUCCCUGGUAAAUCAUCGCCGAACAGUUUUGAUUCAGGGACCUCUAUUAUAAGAACGAGUCUAACCAUACAGCAUCUAGCAAUGGACCUGGCAUUCCUCUGCUUGUUUGUCUGAAAGUGUCACUAGGUAACGAUCGCUAGAGGCCGACACGGCCGGCGACCAGGUCCCUGGGUGAAAGCCCCCUAUAGUCACCUCCAGUGCACGAUUAACGCGGUGUGCGAUUCGUACGCACUCUCCAUAAAAUGCUUAGAACAACUGUUAACAAAGGAUAUCUUGGUUCUC
This 378-nucleotide unclassified non-coding RNA is filed under the name fungal sp. RNAcentral's name for it is "partial internal transcribed spacer region". The record is from RNAcentral. Lineage: Eukaryota; Fungi.